AGAGUUUGAUCAUGGCUCAGAUUGAACGCUGGCGGCAGGCCUAACACAUGCAAGUCGAACGGUAACAGGAAACAGCUUGCUGUUUCGCUGACGAGUGGCGGACGGGUGAGUAAUGUCUGGGAAACUGCCUGAUGGAGGGGGAUAACUACUGGAAACGGUAGCUAAUACCGCAUAAUGUCGCAAGACCAAAGAGGGGGACCUUAGGGCCUCUUGCCAUCGGAUGUGCCCAGAUGGGAUUAGCUAGUAGGUGGGGUAACGGCUCACCUAGGCGACGAUCCCUAGCUGGUCUGAGAGGAUGACCAGCCACACUGGAACUGAGACACGGUCCAGACUCCUACGGGAGGCAGCAGUGGGGAAUAUUGCACAAUGGGCGCAAGCCUGAUGCAGCCAUGCCGCGUGUAUGAAGAAGGUCUUCGGGUUGUAAAGUACUUUCAGCGGGGAGGAAGGGAGUAAAGUUAAUACCUUUGCUCAUUGACGUUACCCGCAGAAGAAGCACCGGCUAACUCCGUGCCAGCAGCCGCGGUAAUACGGAGGGUGCAAGCGUUAAUCGGAAUUACUGGGCGUAAAGCGCACGCAGGCGGUUUGUUAAGUCAGAUGUGAAAUCCCCGGGCUCAACCUGGGAACUGCAUCUGAUACUGGCAAGCUUGAGUCUCGUAGAGGGGGGUAGAAUUCCAGGUGUAGCGGUGAAAUGCGUAGAGAUCUGGAGGAAUACCGGUGGCGAAGGCGGCCCCCUGGACGAAGACUGACGCUCAGGUGCGAAAGCGUGGGGAGCAAACAGGAUUAGAUACCCUGGUAGUCCACGCCGUAAACGAUGUCGACUUGGAGGUUGUGCCCUUGAGGCGUGGCUUCCGGAGCUAACGCGUUAAGUCGACCGCCUGGGGAGUACGGCCGCAAGGUUAAAACUCAAAUGAAUUGACGGGGGCCCGCACAAGCGGUGGAGCAUGUGGUUUAAUUCGAUGCAACGCGAAGAACCUUACCUGGUCUUGACAUCCACGGAAGUUUUCAGAGAUGAGAAUGUGCCUUCGGGAACCGUGAGACAGGUGCUGCAUGGCUGUCGUCAGCUCGUGUUGUGAAAUGUUGGGUUAAGUCCCGCAACGAGCGCAACCCUUAUCCUUUGUUGCCAGCGGUCCGGCCGGGAACUCAAAGGAGACUGCCAGUGAUAAACUGGAGGAAGGUGGGGAUGACGUCAAGUCAUCAUGGCCCUUACGACCAGGGCUACACACGUGCUACAAUGGCGCAUACAAAGAGAAGCGACCUCGCANNNNNNNNNNAAGUCCCGCAACGAGCGCAACCCUUAUCCUUUGUUGCCAGCGGUCCGGCCGGGAACUCAAAGGAGACUGCCAGUGAUAAACUGGAGGAAGGUGGGGAUGACGUCAAGUCAUCAUGGCCCUUACGACCAGGGCUACACACGUGCUACAAUGGCGCAUACAAAGAGAAGCGACCUCGCGAGAGCAAGCGGACCUCAUAAAGUGCGUCGUAGUCCGGAUUGGAGUCUGCAACUCGACUCCAUGAAGUCGGAAUCGCUAGUAAUCGUGGAUCAGAAUGCCACGGUGAAUACGUUCCCGGGCCUUGUACACACCGCCCGUCACACCAUGGGAGUGGGUUGCAAAAGAAGUAGGUAGCUUAACCUUCGGGAGGGCGCUUACCACUUUGUGAUUCAUGACUGGGGUGAAGUCGUAACAAGGUAACCGUAGGGGAACCUGCGGUUG
RNAcentral lists this ribosomal RNA (1709 nucleotides) under Shigella dysenteriae. Its description in RNAcentral is "bacterial SSU rRNA". It matches the Rfam family "Bacterial small subunit ribosomal RNA". The record is from RNAcentral. Lineage: Bacteria; Pseudomonadati; Pseudomonadota; Gammaproteobacteria; Enterobacterales; Enterobacteriaceae.